GGGCCCGCACAAGCGGAGGAACAUGUGGUUUAAUUCGAUGAUACGCGAGGAACCUUACCCGGGUUUGAACGCAUUUGGACGAUAGUGGAAACAUUAUUUCUAGCAAUAGCCAUUUGCGAGGUGCUGCAUGGUUGUCGUCAGCUCGUGCCGUGAGGUGUCGGCUUAAGUGCCAUAACGAGCGCAACCCUUACCGGUAGUUACCAUCAGGUUAUGCUGGGGACUCUACCGGGACUGCCGGCGUAAGCCGUGAGGAAGGUGGGGAUGACGUCAAAUCAGCACGGCCCUUACAUCCGGGGCGACACACGUGUUACAAUGGGGGGGACAGAGGGCUGCUACCCGGCGACGGGAUGCCAAUCCCUUAAACCCCCUCUCAGUUCGGAUCGGAGCCUGCAACCCGGCUCCCGUGAAGCUGGAUUCGCUAGUAAUCGCGCAUCAGCCAUGGCG
This 444-nucleotide ribosomal RNA is filed under the name uncultured Bacteroidota bacterium. RNAcentral's name for it is "bacterial SSU rRNA". It matches the Rfam family "Bacterial small subunit ribosomal RNA", at positions 917 to 1359 of the family's 1533-position model. Lineage: Bacteria; Pseudomonadati; Bacteroidota. The record is from RNAcentral.